UCCGGUUUGACACCGGCAGUAUCCUCAGAGUGCCCAACUUAAUGCUGGCAACUAAGGACAAGGGUUGCGCUCGUUGCCGGACUUAACCGAACAUCUUACGACACGAGCUGACGACAGCCAUGCAGCACCUGUCUCCCUGCCCCCGAAGGGGAAACUCCAUCUCUGGAGCUGUCAAGGGAUGUCAAGGCCAGGUAAGGUUCUGCGCGUUGCUUCGAAUUAAACCACAUACUCCACCGCUUGUGCGGGCCCCCGUCAAUUCCUUUGAGUUUUAGCCUUGCGACCGUACUCCCCAGGCGGGAUACUUAAUGCGUGAGCUCCGGUACCCAGAGGGUUAACACUCCGGACACCUAGUAUCCAUCGUUUACGGUGUGGACUAC
RNAcentral lists this unclassified non-coding RNA (377 nucleotides) under uncultured Oligoflexaceae bacterium. RNAcentral describes it as "contains 16S-23S intergenic spacer region". The record is from RNAcentral. Lineage: Bacteria; Pseudomonadati; Bdellovibrionota; Oligoflexia; Oligoflexales; Oligoflexaceae.